UGCGGAAUGGUGUAAUGGUAGCACAACAGACUCUGACUCUGUUUGUAGGGGUUCGAAUCCCUUUUCCGUAG
Molecule: transfer RNA, 71 nt
Organism: Lachnospiraceae bacterium 2_1_46FAA
Lineage: Bacteria; Bacillati; Bacillota; Clostridia; Lachnospirales; Lachnospiraceae
Rfam family: tRNA
About the family: Transfer RNA (tRNA) molecules are approximately 80 nucleotides in length.
Source: Rfam